GGAGUGGAGUGGAGUGGAGUGGAGUGGAGUGGAGUGGACAGGACUCAGGACCCCAACACCCUGGUGCCUGGCUGUGUGGGCUGGACUGGUCGUUUCACGGCUGGUCUGCAUUUGCUCACCUGCACCGCCUCC
Molecule: microRNA precursor, 132 nt
Organism: Myotis lucifugus (little brown bat)
Lineage: Eukaryota; Metazoa; Chordata; Mammalia; Chiroptera; Vespertilionidae
Source: Ensembl